RNAcentral lists this ribosomal RNA (1487 nucleotides) under uncultured bacterium. Its description in RNAcentral is "bacterial SSU rRNA". It matches the Rfam family "Bacterial small subunit ribosomal RNA". The record is from RNAcentral.
AGAGUUUGAUCCUGGCUCAGAUUGAACGCUGGCGGCAUGCCUUACACAUGCAAGUCGAACGGUAACGCGGGGCAACCUGGCGACGAGUGGCGAACGGGUGAGUAAUGUAUCGGAACGUGCCCAGUUGUGGGGGAUAACUACUCGAAAGAGUGGCUAAUACCGCAUACGACCUGAGGGUGAAAGCGGGGGAUCGCAAGACCUCGCGCAAUUGGAGCGGCCGAUAUCAGAUUAGGUAGUUGGUGGGGUAAAGGCUCACCAAGCCGACGAUCUGUAGCUGGUCUGAGAGGACGACCAGCCACACUGGGACUGAGACACGGCCCAGACUCCUACGGGAGGCAGCAGUGGGGAAUUUUGGACAAUGGGCGCAAGCCUGAUCCAGCCAUGCCGCGUGCGGGAAGAAGGCCUUCGGGUUGUAAACCGCUUUUGUCAGGGAAGAAAUCUUCUGGGCUAAUACCCUGGGAGGAUGACGGUACCUGAAGAAUAAGCACCGGCUAACUACGUGCCAGCAGCCGCGGUAAUACGUAGGGUGCAAGCGUUAAUCGGAAUUACUGGGCGUAAAGCGUGCGCAGGCGGUUAUGCAAGACAGAGGUGAAAUCCCCGGGCUCAACCUGGGAACUGCCUUUGUGACUGCAUGACUAGAGUACGGCAGAGGGGGAUGGAAUUCCGCGUGUAGCAGUGAAAUGCGUAGAUAUGCGGAGGAACACCGAUGGCGAAGGCAAUCCCCUGGGCCUGUACUGACGCUCAUGCACGAAAGCGUGGGGAGCAAACAGGAUUAGAUACCCUGGUAGUCCACGCCCUAAACGAUGUCAACUGGUUGUUGGGAGGGUUUCUUCUCAGUAACGUAGCUAACGCGUGAAGUUGACCGCCUGGGGAGUACGGGCCGCAAGGUUGAAACUCAAGGAAUUGACGGGGACCCGCACAAGCGGUGGAUGAUGUGGUUUAAUUCGAUGCAACGCGAAAAACCUUACCUACCCUUGACAUGCCAGGAAUCCUGAAGAGAUUUGGGAGUGCUCGAAAGAGAACCUGGACACAGGUGCUGCAUGGCCGUCGUCAGCUCGUGUCGUGAGAUGUUGGGUUAAGUCCCGCAACGAGCGCAACCCUUGUCAUUAGUUGCUACGAAAGGGCACUCUAAUGAGACUGCCGGUGACAAACCGGAGGAAGGUGGGGAUGACGUCAGGUCAUCAUGGCCCUUAUGGGUAGGGCUACACACGUCAUACAAUGGCCGGUACAGAGGGCUGCCAACCCGCGAGGGGGAGCUAAUCCCAGAAAACCGGUCGUAGUCCGGAUCGCAGUCUGCAACUCGACUGCGUGAAGUCGGAAUCGCUAGUAAUCGCGGAUCAGCUUGCCGCGGUGAAUACGUUCCCGGGUCUUGUACACACCGCCCGUCACACCAUGGGAGCGGGUUCUGCCAGAAGUAGUUAGCCUAACCGCAAGGAGGGCGAUUACCACGGCAGGGUUCGUGACUGGGGUGAAGUCGUAACAAGGUA